This 313-nucleotide small RNA is filed under the name Aotus nancymaae (Ma's night monkey). RNAcentral's name for it is "Metazoan signal recognition particle RNA (ENSANAG00000001788.1)". It matches the Rfam family "Metazoan signal recognition particle RNA". From Rfam's summary of the family: The signal recognition particle (SRP) is a universally conserved ribonucleoprotein. It is involved in the co-translational targeting of proteins to membranes. Lineage: Eukaryota; Metazoa; Chordata; Mammalia; Primates; Aotidae. The record is from RNAcentral.
GCUGGGCAUAGUGGUGCAUGCCUGUAGUCCCAGCUACUCUGGAAGCUGAGGUGGGAGGAUUGCUUGAGCCCAGGAGGUUGAGUCUACAGUGAGCCAUGAUUGUGCCACUGCACGUCAGCCUGAGUAACACAGCAAGACUUGUCCCUAAAAACAAAACAAGCUGGCUUUAUGGUCAACUGGCUACUCUGGAGGCUGAGGUGAGAGAAUUACAGAAUUGCUUGAGCCUAGGAGUUCAAAGAUGCAGUGCACCAUGUUUGCACUUGUAAAUAGCUACUGCAUUCCAGCCUGGGCAUUAUAGCAAGACCCCAUCUCU